RNAcentral lists this transfer RNA (85 nucleotides) under Felis catus (domestic cat). It matches the Rfam family "tRNA". From Rfam's summary of the family: Transfer RNA (tRNA) molecules are approximately 80 nucleotides in length. Lineage: Eukaryota; Metazoa; Chordata; Mammalia; Carnivora; Felidae. The record is from Rfam by way of RNAcentral.
GCCUCGGUGGCUCAGUCGGUUGAGCGCCUGACUUCAGCUCAGGUGAUUAUCUCACAGUUUGUGGGUUUGAGCCCCACAUCAGGCU